Long non-coding RNA from Glossina fuscipes, 1357 nucleotides. RefSeq lists it as uncharacterized. The transcript has 3 exons. The record is from RefSeq and is a predicted model, not a curated record. Lineage: Eukaryota; Metazoa; Arthropoda; Insecta; Diptera; Glossinidae.
AGGAAAUCCAAAAAAAAAGUGCAUUUUUUUUUGUAAACUUAAUCGUGUAACUUUGAACAAAAAUUUAUGGCUACAAACAUUCAUUCCGCUGCAGUGCAUUCACUCUUUGAGCUAAUAUUUGUUUUUCAUUUUCAAAAUCAGGUACACAGGAUUUUCUUUCCGGUCUUUUAAUUUACGAAUACUACACAAUGCGUUUAAUAUUACAUGUGGAUUAUUAAAAACAGCUAAACGUGGAAACAAUAACCUCUACGAAAUGUUUUUGCAAAUGCUCUAAGGCUUGUGCGAGCAUCCAAUUAUCGUCUUUUAAAUGAAAUGAAAAACUUCACAUUGUGUGUGCGUUUAUUAUGAAGUUUUUCCAAAUGAAGGUAAAAUUUGCAGGAAAAUUUAAUUAUAUAACUGUGACAAAUUUAUAUUCACACAAUAGCUAAAUAAUUGAAACUGAAAAAGAAAAUAUUUCGUAAAUACAAUAUAUAAAUAAAAAUAUUUUUUGCAGCGCAGUUCGUAACGACCCGAUCAUAUAACAAAAAGUAAAAAAAACGACUUUACUACGUUUGUAAUAAAUUAUACAAGUAAUUCAAUUAAAAUGAAACGCAUCGCAAAAGUUUAAAAUUAUUACAACGAAAUUUGUGUUGCGUUCGAAGUGCAAAGGAAACGUGUGUGUGCUCCCAAAAAAAAAAAAAAAAUAAAUAAAUAAAUUAAAGGAAAAAUUUAAAUACAAACUGUACAUGCAUAGUUUUCUUUAUUUACCUUAACUCGUAUUUCCUAUAUUAAGUAUGAGGAAAUAAUUGUAAUUGAAUUGUAAAACAUGCAAUAUUCAAAUAUGAUAAACAAUGAGAAAAAAGAAUAAUAAGAUGAACGUCAAUACUUGAUUACAUAUUAUGUUAAUAGUAUUAUUAAUGUAAAGAUUGAAUUCGGAAUGCAGCGAAGACUCCCAACUCAUUGCACUUGAAAAACAGGGUAAUUGAUUUUCAAUAAGUGAGGACGAGCAGGAGAAAUAUAAAUCGACUUAAAACGAGAAGUUGAAUACAAUAGAAAGGAAGUAAGCAAAAGAAAAAUAGAAAAAAGAAAUAAUUCUCAUAAAUCUAUUUCAAUGCAUUUAUAAGCAUUUUUCGAAAGAAAAAUAAUAUAGUGAAUGCUUGACGUAUGUGAGUGGUGUUUCAAUAUAAAUAUCUUAAUAAAUAAUAAUAAAAAAAUCUCAAUACGGUGUUAAAAAAAAUAAAAUAAAAUAAAAAUUCAAAUCAAUUCAACUAGAUAAUGUUUAAUUUGAACUAUAUACUAAACCGCUUGUGUAAUUAAGAAAUAGAAGAAUAAAAUAAAAAAUCUUAAUACAAAUUUAAAUGCAAUCAAAUCAAAUAUA